Molecule: ribosomal RNA, 380 nt
Filed under: uncultured bacterium
Lineage: Bacteria
Description: partial 16S ribosomal RNA
Rfam family: Bacterial small subunit ribosomal RNA
Source: RNAcentral
CCUACGGGUGGCAGCAGUGGGGAAUAUUGCACAAUGGGCGAAAGCCUGAUGCAGCAACGCCGCGUGAAGGAAGAAGGGUUUCGGCUCGUAAACUUCUAUCAACAGGGACGAAAGAAAUGACGGUACCUGAACAAGAAGCUCCGGCUAACUACGUGCCAGCAGCCGCGGUAAUACGUAGGGGGCAAGCGUUAUCCGGAAUUACUGGGUGCAAAGGGCGAGUAGGCGGGAUGGUAAGCCAGAUGUGAAAGCAUAGGGCUUAACCGGGGGACUGCAUUUGGAACUGGCAAGCUGGAGUUCGGGAGAGGAUAGGGGAAUUCCAGGUGUAGGGGUGAAAGGCGUAGAUAUAUGGAGGAACAGCAGUGGGGAAGGCGGCUUUCGGG